This 464-nucleotide ribosomal RNA is filed under the name uncultured bacterium. RNAcentral's name for it is "partial 16S ribosomal RNA". It matches the Rfam family "Bacterial small subunit ribosomal RNA", at positions 338 to 795 of the family's 1533-position model. The record is from RNAcentral.
CCUACGGGUGGCUGCAGUAGGGAAUUUUCGGCAAUGGGGGGAACCCUGACCGAGCAACGCCGCGUGAAGGAAGACGGAAUUCGUUCUGUAAACUUCUGUUAUAAAGGAAGAAAGACGGCUGGAGGAAAUGACAUCCGAGUGACGGUACUUUAUGAGAAAGCCACGUCUAACUACGUCCCAGCCGCCGCGGUAAUACGUCGGUGGCAUGCGUUAUCCGGAAUUAUUGGGCGUAAGGAGGGAGCAGGCGGCAGCAAAGGUCGGUGGUGAAAGACUGAAGCUAAACGUCAGUAAGCCAUAGAAACCGGGCAGCUAGAGUGCAGGAGAGGAUCGUGGAAUUCCAUGUGUAGCGGUGAAAUGCGUAGAUAUAUGGAGGAACACCAGUGGCGAAGGCGACGAUCUGGCCUGCAACUGACGCUCAGUCCCGAAAGCGUGGGGAGCAAAUAGGAUUAGAUACCCGAGUAGUC